This 484-nucleotide ribosomal RNA is filed under the name uncultured bacterium. RNAcentral describes it as "partial 16S ribosomal RNA". It matches the Rfam family "Bacterial small subunit ribosomal RNA", at positions 30 to 507 of the family's 1533-position model. The record is from RNAcentral.
AUUGAACGCUGGCGGCAGGCCUAACACAUGCAAGUCGAGCGGAUGAAGGGAGCUUGCUCCUGGAUUCAGCGGCGGACGGGUGAGUAAUGCCUAGGAAUCUGCCUGGUAGUGGGGGAUAACGUCCGGAAACGGGCGCUAAUACCGCAUACGUCCUGAGGGAGAAAGUGGGGGAUCUUCGGACCUCACGCUAUCAGAUGAGCCUAGGUCGGAUUAGCUAGUUGGUGGGGUAAAGGCCUACCAAGGCGACGAUCCGUAACUGGUCUGAGAGGAUGAUCAGUCACACUGGAACUGAGACACGGUCCAGACUCCGACGGGAGGCAGCAGUGGGGAAUAUUGGACAAUGGGCGAAAGCCUGAUCCAGCCAUGCCGCGUGUGUGAAGAAGGUCUUCGGAUUGUAAAGCACUUUAAGUUGGGGGGAAGGGCAGUAAGUUAAUCCCUUGCUGUUUUGACGUUACCAACAGAAUAAGCACCGGCUAACUUCGUG